UGAGGAAUUUUGGGCAAUGGGCGCAAGCCUGACCCAGCAACGCCGCGUGAGGGAAGAAGGCUUUCGGGUUGUAAACCUCUGUCCUUGGGGACGAAAAAAAUGACGGUACCCAAGGAGGAAGCUCCGGCUAACUACGUGCCAGCAGCCGCGGUAAUACGUAGGGAGCAAGCGUUGUCCGGAAUUAUUGGGCGUAAAGGGUGCGUAGGCGGCGCUGCAAGUCAGAUGUGAAAUCCCCGGGCUUAACUCGGGGGGUGCAUUUGAAACUGCAGUGCUUGAGUGCAGGAGAGGAAAGCGGAAUUCCUAGUGUAGCGGUGAAAUGCGUAGAUAUUAGGAAGAACACCAGUGGCGAAGGCGGCUUUCUGGACUGUAACUGACGCUGAGGCACGAAAGCGUGGGGAGCAAACA
RNAcentral lists this ribosomal RNA (405 nucleotides) under uncultured prokaryote. Its description in RNAcentral is "bacterial SSU rRNA". It matches the Rfam family "Bacterial small subunit ribosomal RNA", at positions 355 to 774 of the family's 1533-position model. The record is from RNAcentral.